RNAcentral lists this unclassified non-coding RNA (3423 nucleotides) under Leishmania donovani. Its description in RNAcentral is "gene:LdHU3.11.0190(CDS-product:hypothetical_prote in_conserved)". The record is from RNAcentral. Lineage: Eukaryota; Euglenozoa; Kinetoplastea; Trypanosomatida; Trypanosomatidae.
UGCGGAAGUUGCAGAACUCAUCCGCCACGACUCUCUUUGCACCGCUGCCGCAGGCCUGGACCGCCCAUCCUUCACCUUGCAGCCUUGAAAGCCUCAAAGACACUCGCGCACGCGAACGGACGCCUUUCGUGUGUGCGUCUCUCCGAUCGGCUCGCUCUCGGCUCGUCUUUUCAUCAUUACUUCGUGCGCAAUGGAGGACGCGGCCCCUACCAAGCAAGAUCGUCGCAUCUACAAGGUGCUGCGUGACCGAUGCGAUACCCCUCGCGUCCUCUUCUCCACCGAGGAUCCGCUCGUCCUCGUGCGCCAUGGCGACCGGUGCUACGUCUUUCUGUUCAGCACCAAGUACUAUACCUACAUGGUCAAGAGCAAAGGUUUCAAGCUGUAUGCGGUGUGGGCGAAUCGGCAGCUGUCUGUGACAGCUCGGUCGGACCGGAUCACCCUAACGUCGCUUGACCCGCGCGCCAUGAAAGCAACGCCGCAGUCCUACAAGGAGACGACGGACGCCGCUGUCAACGAGUUCAGCACGGUCACACUGGAGACGAAGUCGGCGCUGAAGGCAGCGGAGGUGGAGGAGCGUAUAAUGUACCUUGUUGAAAGUGCGCAGCGCACGGCGGCGGUGCUGGAGCAGCAGGAACGUGGCAUUGCGCUUGACGGGGGCCGCUACCUUGGCGACAACGAUGACGACGCCCACUCCGGCAGCUCCUCUGAUAGCGAGGACGGUGACAGCGGCGGUACGUCCAUAUCCGCCACACUCGUCUCGGCAGCCGCUCGUGCAGCGGUUCAGCAGGGAGACGGAGGGCGCAAAAAGAAGGUUUCCGAAGGGGGGCUGCACAUGGCCCCAUCGCGCUACAUCGCCAUCACAUCCCUUGUGGAUGGCGAGUUUGCUGACUACACGACGCUCAAGAAUGCGUACAUGCGGCAUGAGGAGGAGGACCUGCUGCGGGACUUGGGCGUCUUCAUCAAAGAAAACGAAGGUCAGGUGGAGGCGUUGUGCGAGCACCACUACCCGGCCCUCAUCCACGCCGCGCAGCAGUGCGUGAGCAUCUCUGAGCGGGACGCCGAGCUCGUAGGCGAGGAGCUCAGCGGCGCCACUGCCCUCGUGCGCACCGCUGUCGUGAACAUGAAGAAGGCUACCUCCAGCCUCCUCUUGUCACGCAGCACCCGCGACAACCUGCAGCAGGUGCGCAGCCUUCUCUCCAAAGCCAUUGCCGUCGCCGAGUAUCUCGAGACAGCGGAGUCGCAGACGCAGCGCCAGCAGCUCGUUGGGGCGGUGGCCACGCUGCGCGAGCUGAUUCGCCUGGCCGCGCCGCUUAGCGAGUACGCCAUUGGCGAGUACGUGCUGCAUGUUCGCGUCCCGGCACUCACGCAGGAUGUCUUCAGUUACGCCGUGCAGCAUCUCAACAACUGGCUGCGUGUCCUGCGGGACAAGGCGUAUCCGAUUGGGAAGGCUGCGAUGGAGUGGCAAGGCACCGUGGCCGCCGGUCGCCUUUCCUCGCACCUCGUCAUGGCCGAGGCAAGCGAGCAGUGGUGGCUGAACGAGGAGUUUGUGCCAGCGCAGCUGGAGCUGGCGCCGUUCGCCGAGGCGGAGGCGAUCACUGCGGUGUCCAACGGUGCCGGAAUCCAAGCCGUCUUCAUAGAGCUGCACCGCGAGGAGUACCUCGACAAGUACUACACAGAGGGCCGGUGGCAACAGGCGCGCGCUGAUCUGCUGGAGUGUCCGCUGACGUUGGCGAACCUGUCGCCUGCCGAAGUGCUCAGCAAGUUCCGCGAGUACUGCGCCACAGCCAUGGGGUUCAUUUUAAUCGAGGACAUAGUUUACGGCGCCACCUCGCCGCACCUUCGCUCCCGGGCCGAGAUUAUCCAGCUGUGGGCCAGCCUCUCUGCCAAGAUUGCCGAGCACGCCCUCAAGGUGCUGCAGGUCCUGCUGGCAAACCCUAGCGAGACAAGCGAGGCUGUCCAGCAGGUCCAGGUACUGCAGUCGCUCAUCCGCUGUGCCGCCGACAACGUGAAAUGUGUCGAGCUAAGCAACCUGCCCCUUAUGCGCGCGAUGGAGACGGCGAGCGACCAGCUGAUCAGCUCAUGGCUGCAGCAGGCCUGUGUUGACUGCAUGCAGCUCAUUAUGAGCGAUACGUUUGCCCCCGCCGUGGCCACGGAUGCCGCGCAAUAUGCCGAGCUUGUUGCGCGCUUCUACUUCCACAGGUGCACCUCUCUGGAGCUGAGCAUCCCAAGCGCCUACACUAGUGGCGCCCUAACGCUGCCCUACAGUGCUGUCGUGCCGCGCAUCGGUGAGUGCGUUCUCGGCUUCCUUACGCAGUGCUACUCCACCAUCAUCACCGACACGUCCACCGUCGUGAUGCAGUCGGAGCUGAACAACGUGGACGAGAUGCUGCUCAAGUACCUGACGGUGCUCUUCCGCACAGUGGCAGAGUCGAUGCAGGGUCAGCUCAUGUCCAUCGAUGCGCGAGCCGUUCUGCAGCUCGCAGUCUACGUGACGAGCUGCUCUAUGAUGCCAGUGCUCAUAUCAUGCGCGGAACAGCAGUACAUGCUGCACUGGCAAUGUCAUUACGAGCGGGAGAAGACGCAGACAAUCGGGGCACCGAAGCUGAUGGCACACUGCGUCAAGUUCUUCACCAAGUCUCUGCAGCUCGGGAUUGAGCGGCUGCUCUCGGCGAUCAUGAAGGAGGUCGAGGUGCGGCUGCAGGCCGUAGACUCCAUGUCGUACUGGAAGGCGCAGGUCGAGGCGCGCCGACAGAACCAAAAAGAUAACGGCGAGGCCUUUGCGUCCUGCAUGGAGUACAUUCUCACGAUGAUUCCCAAGCUGAGCUCCGUCCUGCAGAGCACCGUCGUGCGCAGUGUCGUGGGAACGGCGAUCACGCGAGCAGCAGUUCUCAUGCAGUCCAGCUUGCACACAGCCAUCACAAACGCCUAUCAAGACGGUGCGCGCGACUUUUCUAUAUGGAAAGAAGCCAUCGAGGAGUACGAGAGUCAGUGCACCAUGGGUGUCCCUCUGUGGCAGCGCCGUCUUGGUGAGCUUCUGCCGGGUAUCAGUGGGGCACAACGCUUCCCACUCAACGCGGCGGUCGCAGUGCAGGAGGUGCAUCAGUGGAUGGAUCCGAAGGAGCAGGCGUACAAGGCGGACAAGGCGAGCCAGCCACAGAUCUUAGCUGGCAUCGAAGGCGCCGGCAAGGCUGUGGCGAAGGGUUUCCAAGCAGUGGGCAAGGGCGUCGCUGCCAGAGCCAGUGUCUUUGGGAAAGGGCCACAGCAGCAGCAGUAGCUGCCGCACAGUUGUGGCGAUUCCAGUGUCGCGUGUCGGCCCUCACGCCGGCCGUGUGAACAGUCGACAUGGGUACGCUUAUCGCCGUCUGUGUCUUGUCACUCGUGUUGUCGCUGUCGGCGCCCUCGCACGUGCGUCCUCAUCUGCUC